RNAcentral lists this ribosomal RNA (492 nucleotides) under uncultured bacterium. Its description in RNAcentral is "partial 16S ribosomal RNA". It matches the Rfam family "Bacterial small subunit ribosomal RNA", at positions 29 to 507 of the family's 1533-position model. The record is from RNAcentral.
AGUGAACGCUGGCGGUAGGCCUAACACAUGCAAGUCGAACGGCAGCACAGUAAGAGCUUGCUCUUACGGGUGGCGAGUGGCGGACGGGUGAGGAAUACAUCGGAAUCUACUUUUUCGUGGGGGAUAACGUAGGGAAACUUACGCUAAUACCGCAUACGACCUACGGGUGAAAGCAGGGGAUCCUCGGACCUUGCGCGAUUGAAUGAGCCGAUGUCGGAUUAGCUAGUUGGCGGGGUAAAGGCCCACCAAGGCGACGAUCCGUAGCUGGUCUGAGAGGAUGAUAGGCCACACUGGAACUGAGACACGGUCCAGACUCCUACGGGAGGCAGCAGUGGGGAAUAUUGGACAAUGGGCGCAAGCCUGAUCCAGCCAUACCGCGUGGGUGAAGAAGGCCUUCGGGUUGUAAAGCCCUUUUGUUGGGAAAGAAAAGCAGCAGGUUAAUACCCCGCUGUUCUGACGGUACCCAAAGAAUAAGCACCGGCUAACUUCGUG